UCUAGAUCAUAAAUAAAUUACCUGAGGACUAUGAACAAAACUUGAUUUUUGUGUCUAGUUUAAAACUCAAAAGGCUUGGCGGUGUUCUAAACUUUUCAGGGGAACCUGUCUCUUAAUCGAUAGCCCGCGAUAUACCUAACUUUUUUUAAAUAGUAUGUAUACCGUCGUCAGCAGGUGACUUUUAAGAAAACAAAAGUUAGCGAGAAAAAAACUUGUUUUCUAUGUCAGAUCAAGGUGCAGCUUAUAGAAAAGUGAGGAUGGGUUACAAUUAACGCAAUCUUAAUUACGGAAAUAUUGAUGAAAUUCAUUAUCAAAGGAGGACUUGAAAGUAAAAGUAAAAUUAUAUAGAUACCUUGAAUAUAGCUCUAGAACGUGCACACAUCGCCCGUCGCUCUCGUUGAAAAAUGAGAUAAGUCGUAACAUAGUAGUAGUAACGGAAGUUGCUGCUAGAUGA
RNAcentral lists this ribosomal RNA (454 nucleotides) under Pomacea haustrum. RNAcentral describes it as "partial small subunit ribosomal RNA". It matches the Rfam family "Microsporidia small subunit ribosomal RNA", at positions 720 to 1311 of the family's 1311-position model. The record is from RNAcentral. Lineage: Eukaryota; Metazoa; Mollusca; Gastropoda; Architaenioglossa; Ampullariidae.